Non-coding RNA from Pelobates cultripes (western spadefoot toad), 321 nucleotides. The record is from the annotation of a GenBank genome assembly. NCBI's taxonomy places the organism in Eukaryota, Metazoa, Chordata, Amphibia, Anura, Pelobatidae.
CUGCUCAAUGCCCACCAGUAAGCGAUUUUAAUGUUUUGAAGGUGAGGCUAACUGGAAUAAAGAACAGAAAUGAGAAAUAGAAGAAUAAAGACUUUCUCUUCAACCCUUUCCCUCUGACACCCCUAGGGCACUAAGCUCUAUCCAUCUUUUAAGCUCAAGAUUUGUGAACCCCUGCUUCUGACAGUUCUACCGAUUUGGAGAUAUGCAUGUUCCAUGGAUACCAUUGUUCAAUAUUGUGGCGGACCCUGUCCUAUCCCUGUUUGGUUACCCGAACAAACUAUGUUCCCCAAAGUACGCUCACUGGCAGAUGGUGGCCAUUUU